GAUGAACGCUGGCGGCGUGCCUAAUACAUGCAAGUCGAGCGAACAGACGAGGAGCUUGCUCCUUUGACGUUAGGGGCGGACGGGUGAGUAACACGUAGGUAACCUACCUAUAAGACUGGGAUAACUUCGGGAAACCGGAGCUAAUACCGGAUAAUAUUUCGAACCGCAUGGUUGGAUAGUGAAAGAUGGCUUUGCUAUCACUUAUAGAUGGACCUGCGCCGUAUUAGCUAGUUGGUAAGGUAACGGCUUACCAAGGCAACGAUACGUAGCCGACCUGAGAGGGUGAUCGGCCACACUGGAACUGAGACACGGUCCAGACUCCUACGGGAGGCAGCAGUAGGGAAUCUUCCGCAAUGGGCGAAAGCCUGACGGAGCAACGCCGCGUGAGUGAUGAAGGUCUUCGGAUCGUAAAACUCUGUUAUGAGGGAAGAACAAACGUGUAAGUAACUGUGCACGUCUUGACGGUACCUAAUCAGAAAGCCACGGCUAACUACGUG
This 497-nucleotide ribosomal RNA is filed under the name uncultured bacterium. RNAcentral's name for it is "partial 16S ribosomal RNA". It matches the Rfam family "Bacterial small subunit ribosomal RNA", at positions 28 to 507 of the family's 1533-position model. The record is from RNAcentral.